Molecule: ribosomal RNA, 464 nt
Filed under: Vreelandella stevensii
Lineage: Bacteria; Pseudomonadati; Pseudomonadota; Gammaproteobacteria; Oceanospirillales; Halomonadaceae
Description: partial 16S ribosomal RNA
Rfam family: Bacterial small subunit ribosomal RNA
Source: RNAcentral
CCUACGGGCGGCAGCAGUGGGGAAUAUUGGACAAUGGGGGAACCCUGAUCCAGCCAUGCCGCGUGUGUGAAGAAGGCCCUCGGGUUGUAAAGCACUUUCAGUGAGGAAGAACGCCUGGUGGUUAAUACCCAUCAGGAAAGACAUCACUCACAGAAGAAGCACCGGCUAACUCCGUGCCAGCAGCCGCGGUAAUACGGAGGGUGCGAGCGUUAAUCGGAAUUACUGGGCGUAAAGCGCGCGUAGGUGGCUUGAUAAGCCGGUUGUGAAAGCCCCGGGCUCAACCUGGGAACGGCAUCCGGAACUGUCAAGCUAGAGUGCAGGAGAGGAAGGUAGAAUUCCCGGUGUAGCGGUGAAAUGCGUAGAGAUCGGGAGGAAUACCAGUGGCGAAGGCGGCCUUCUGGACUGACACUGACACUGAGGUGCGAAAGCGUGGGUAGCAAACAGGAUUAGAUACCCCAGUAGUC